RNAcentral lists this unclassified non-coding RNA (221 nucleotides) under Hevea brasiliensis (rubber tree). The record is from RNAcentral. Lineage: Eukaryota; Viridiplantae; Streptophyta; Magnoliopsida; Malpighiales; Euphorbiaceae.
GGAGAUAGAGAAGACCAGAACUCAGGUGAAAUCCAGGAACACUCUGAUAAGUUAGAACAAAACGAGGAUGACAAAUCCUCUGAAUUUAGUGAUGAUGGUACAGCAGAUGAUGACCAUCCAAGGGAUUGGUUAUCCCGCUUCUGGCCUGGUGGUAGACGAAUAUUUGCAGCCCUUGGGCUGAAUAGAUGUUCCAUACUAUAGAAUCAUAGAUUAUGAAGAGA